AAGGUUAACCGAAUAGGGGAGCCGGAGGGAAACCGAGUCUUAACCGGGCGUUAAGUUGCAGGGUAUAGACCCGAAACCCGGUGAUCUAGCCAUGGGCAGGUUGAAGGUUGGGUAACACUAACUGGAGGACCGAACCGACUAAUGUUGAAAAAUUAGCGGAUGACCUGUGGCUGGGGGUGAAAGGCCAAUCAAACCGGGAGAUAGCUGGUUCUCCCCGAAAGCUAUUUAGGUAGCGCCUCGUGAAUUCAUCUCCGGGGGUAGAGCACUGUUUCGGCUAGGGGGCCAUCCCGGCUUACCAACCCGAUGCAAACUGCGAAUACCGGAGAAUGUUAUCACGGGAGACACACGGCGGGUGCUAACGUCCGUCGUGAAGAGGGAAACAACCCAGACCGCCAGCUAAGGUCCCAAAGUCAUGGUUAAGUGGGAAACGAUGUGGGAAGGCCCAGACAGCCAGGAUGUUGGCUUAGAAGCAGCCAUCAUUUAAAGAAAGCGUAAUAGCUCACUGGUCGAGUCGGCCUGCGCGGAAGAUGUAACGGGGCUAAACCAUGCACCGAAGCU
Molecule: ribosomal RNA, 558 nt
Filed under: Salmonella enterica subsp. enterica serovar Pomona
Lineage: Bacteria; Pseudomonadati; Pseudomonadota; Gammaproteobacteria; Enterobacterales; Enterobacteriaceae
Description: partial 23S ribosomal RNA
Rfam family: Bacterial large subunit ribosomal RNA
Source: RNAcentral